AAUCAAUCAAACCUUGGUUUGGUAUUGGGAGAAGUGGCUUUGCCUCUCUCCUUUAAGCUAUUGGCGACGCUAUUUCAGCUUGUAAGACGUAGUAAGUAAUUUCACGUUAAAGCAACUGGAUGGCUGUCUGCCAAAUGAACGAUUUAUUUUACA
This 153-nucleotide unclassified non-coding RNA is filed under the name uncultured Ascobolaceae. RNAcentral's name for it is "sequence contains ITS2". Lineage: Eukaryota; Fungi; Ascomycota; Pezizomycetes; Pezizales; Ascobolaceae. The record is from RNAcentral.